GAAAGACAAUCAGGCAUUCUUAUCAUGCAAGUCAAUAUUAUGAUCAACUGAGUUAUUCUGUUUCUGUUUGCUUUGUUAUUUUUUCUACUAGCUGUGUAAAAAUUGUGAGGAAUAAAAAGUUUUAGAAGAUCAUUGGUGCAAAGAUGUUGAAGGCAUCAUUUUCUCAUGAUCUUGGUCUUACCUAUGAAACUUUUCUUUGGAAUGUUUGUCAACUCCGGAGUCUGGAAUCUCAUUAUUAAUUGACCAAAACUUUUUGGCUUUUGAAUGUCUAUUCAAGCAUGCCCACACUCUUUACAGGCUGGCCUAUACUUGUUUGUAUUAAGGGCACUCAUGAAACUAACAUUAAAAUUCAAUUGCUUUGUAAGGUCAUAAACUCGGCUAGUAGUGAAAGCAUCGUGAUUAAUUAUGCACAGAACAGGUCAAAACUGAUUUUCUAGGACAGCAAUAUAUAAGUUUGACCACAAUAAUAGGAUGAUGCCUGAAUCAUUGAUUGCUAAUUUGUAGGUUGUGUUUAUCCUUGCUGUUUGUUUUCUCUGUGCUUAUAUUUAAAUUUCAUUGUUAAUAGGGGAAUGUGGUCAAGGAUGUUG
RNAcentral lists this unclassified non-coding RNA (587 nucleotides) under Hevea brasiliensis (rubber tree). The record is from RNAcentral. Lineage: Eukaryota; Viridiplantae; Streptophyta; Magnoliopsida; Malpighiales; Euphorbiaceae.